ACGUAGGGGGCGAGCGUUGUCCGGAUUCACUGGGCGUAAAGGGCGCGCAGGCGGCUACGUAAGUCCGGCGUGAAAUCCCAUGGCUUAACUGUGGAACUGCGUCGGAUACUGCGUUGGCUUGAGGAUGGUAGAGGCCAUUAGAACUAGCGGUGUAGCGGUGAAAUGCGCAGAUAUCGCUAGGAAUGCCGGUGGCGAAGGCGGAUGGCUGGGCCACUCCUGACGCUGAGGCGCGAAAGCUAGGGGAGCGAACCGGA
RNAcentral lists this ribosomal RNA (254 nucleotides) under uncultured prokaryote. RNAcentral's name for it is "partial 16S ribosomal RNA". It matches the Rfam family "Bacterial small subunit ribosomal RNA", at positions 525 to 777 of the family's 1533-position model. The record is from RNAcentral.